AACGAACGCUGGCGGCGUGGAUAAGACAUGCAAGUCGAACGCUGAUUUCAGGGUAGCAAUAUUCUGGAGUCGGAGUGGCGCAAGGGUGCGUAACACGUGGGUAAUUUGCCGUGAAGCCCGGAAUAACUCGCUGAAAGGCGAGCUAAUACCGGAUGCGAUGUUUGGGAGGCAUCUCCUGAACCUUAAAGCUGGGGACCGCAAGGCCUGGCACUUUUCGAUAAGCCCGCGGCCUAUCAGCUAGUUGGUGAGGUAACGGCUCACCAAGGCUAAGACGGGUAGCUGGUCUGAGAGGACGACCAGCCACACUGGAACUGAGACACGGUCCAGACACCUACGGGUGGCAGCAGUCGAGAAUUUUUCACAAUGGGCGAAAGCCUGAUGGAGCGACGCCGCGUGGGGGAUGAAUGGC
This 409-nucleotide ribosomal RNA is filed under the name uncultured bacterium. Its description in RNAcentral is "bacterial SSU rRNA". It matches the Rfam family "Bacterial small subunit ribosomal RNA", at positions 29 to 416 of the family's 1533-position model. The record is from RNAcentral.